This 78-nucleotide small nucleolar RNA is filed under the name Ornithorhynchus anatinus (platypus). Its description in RNAcentral is "Small nucleolar RNA SNORD49 (ENSOANG00000019014.2)". It matches the Rfam family "Small nucleolar RNA SNORD49". From Rfam's summary of the family: U49 belongs to the C/D class of snoRNA which contain the C (UGAUGA) and D (CUGA) box motifs. Most of the members of the box C/D family function in directing site-specific 2'-O-methylation of substrate RNAs. Lineage: Eukaryota; Metazoa; Chordata; Mammalia; Monotremata; Ornithorhynchidae. The record is from Rfam by way of RNAcentral.
UGCAAUGAUGAUAACAUGGAAUAUAGGAAGUGCCGUCAGAUGCGAUAACUGACGAUAAUCUCUGUACCUAAUCUGACC